GUGCUCACCUUGGCCAGCACAGACACUAAAAUUGGAACAAUACGGAGAAGAUUGGCAUGGUUCCUGUGCAAGGAAGACUUGCAGAUUCAUGAAGCAUUCCAUAUUUUU
This is a small nuclear RNA of Equus asinus (donkey), 108 nucleotides long. The record is from Ensembl. NCBI's taxonomy places the organism in Eukaryota, Metazoa, Chordata, Mammalia, Perissodactyla, Equidae.